CAGAAAAUAGUUUAAAGAAAACAAGAGCUUUGGAAGUUUUAGAUUUAGGUACACCAAUUUUCUGA
This 65-nucleotide transfer RNA is filed under the name Margaritifera margaritifera (freshwater pearlshell mussel). RNAcentral's name for it is "tRNA-Pro". It matches the Rfam family "tRNA". Rfam says of the family: Transfer RNA (tRNA) molecules are approximately 80 nucleotides in length. Their secondary structure includes four short double-helical elements and three loops (D, anti-codon, and T loops). The record is from RNAcentral. Lineage: Eukaryota; Metazoa; Mollusca; Bivalvia; Unionida; Margaritiferidae.